This is a long non-coding RNA of Homo sapiens (human), 563 nucleotides long. The record is from Ensembl. NCBI's taxonomy places the organism in Eukaryota, Metazoa, Chordata, Mammalia, Primates, Hominidae.
GUAUUUUGCGCUGUUCCCUGGUCCUGGCUUUUGAGAAAAGAGCCAGCAGCCUCUGGUCUUGUUGACACCAUCAUCUGAGAGUGGCAGGCCACCAGAGGGAAGGGCUAAGGACAGAGCCAGAUCUGGCUGGGCCAUCUCACCUUCUGGAGGCCGAACUUGACCCGGGAUGGAAAUAAUGAAGCAGCCACUGGCUUUCCCAAGGCCUGUGAUCCUCCUGGUCACCAGAAAUCCCAAGUUCUUAUCUCCUGCUCUUCCAGUCUCCUCUGUUAGGGUACUGGUUCCCAGCGCAGAGCUUCUGUGAUUACCAGAAGAACACUGAAGGAGUCUUCUUGUCUGUCUGGAGCCAGCUGAGAUGGCCCUGAGAUCCACAGAGCCUCCUCCACGCCCCUGGAUGGAGGCGCUCCUGCUCUUCCACCCUUUGUAUCUCUCACUUGGCACCCAUUCCCGUAAUUAAUCACAAACUCCGUCUGAGCUAUUCCUUUCUAAGCCAUGCCCUCUGUACUCUGACUUGCCCCAAAUAGACAGAUGCUCAAUAAAUAUUUGCUGAUUGGCUGGAAAGCAAA